This is a long non-coding RNA of Nymphaea colorata (pocket water lily), 1060 nucleotides long. RefSeq lists it as uncharacterized. NCBI's taxonomy places the organism in Eukaryota, Viridiplantae, Streptophyta, Magnoliopsida, Nymphaeales, Nymphaeaceae. The record is from RefSeq and is a predicted model, not a curated record. The transcript is spliced from 3 exons.
UCCCGUAAUCAUAUUUCCAGAAAUUUCGGAUCAGCUUUCCUAUUCGAUGAAAAUGCCCGUUAGGGCUGGCAUGGUGAGCAUCGGCUUCUGCCGCAGCCGCCGUCCUCCUCCUUGCAGCUUCCUUCAUCGCAGCUCCCUCCUCUAGCCCUGCAGCUUCGUGGGUGAGCGGAACGGCGUUGGCGGUAAACAGUUUUCGUCUGGCGACAUCUGGUCCGUGUGCCGGCUGCCGUGAAGGUCUUCAAAGCUCGUCCGGAAGCCUGCUUCAAAAGGGACUGGUUAAGAAGCACUGGAGUUCUCCGUAUUCUGCGAAGCUUUUGUUCCUCCCAUCGUCUUCUCAACCAACCGAAAGCUUUGAGAUUUUCACCAACUGCAGGUGAUCCUAAUGCAGCCCAGCAAAUUACCUUUAUAUCGUCACUUAGAAUGUGAUGUAAAGGUUCGGUCAAAGACUAAAUAAUUGGAUCUCCAAUGAGUAAAAAGAUAAAAGACAAGAAAGAGAGCAGUAGUAGGGGCAUGGUGGUCAACAUGGGCAAAAUGUGAUGGCUGAUAAACUUGCAGUAAAUAGUUUGGCAGAAGGCUUGUGCCUGGGAAGGCGAGUAAGCUGUUUCUCGUGGCAAGGGAGACUCACUGGUCAUUGGGAUGCACAUUGCCUAGUUGACGCAAUCCAUUGAUAGUUGAAACCCGUGAAGAAGUCCAUGGACCAGGUGACAGAUUGUAGGGCGGCCUGUGAAUGGAAGGUAAUUGAAACUCACGCUGCGGCACAUUUAUGAGGUCUGAUUAUGGUGAUGGAAGAUGAAUUGGCUGCUGAACCACUGUAUCCUACAGUUGUAAAUAACAAUAGCAUACAUUAGCAUGUCCAGCUAGUUGAAAACAUGUUGCUUUGUCUGACUCAAAGUGAUGGUUGGUGAAAAUUUGCUUUCUAUUACCAGCUGUCUGUUGCUAAUAUGGAUGGAACGAAAGAUAGGAAAGACCAUGGGUUUUUGUCCUUGCUGUGCUCAGACUUUUUAGCUCCACUAUGCAAAAUGGUACAAAACAUAGAUCAUGGGAUUUAUCUUUUCCGUCC